This 561-nucleotide ribosomal RNA is filed under the name uncultured bacterium. RNAcentral describes it as "bacterial SSU rRNA". It matches the Rfam family "Bacterial small subunit ribosomal RNA", at positions 338 to 916 of the family's 1533-position model. The record is from RNAcentral.
CCUACGGGAGGCAGCAGUGGGGAAUAUUGGACAAUGGGCGAAAGCCUGAUCCAGCAAUGCCGCGUGAGUGAUGAAGGCCUUCGGGUCGUAAAGCUCUUUUACCAGGGAUGAUAAUGACAGUACCUGGAGAAUAAGCUCCGGCUAACUCCGUGCCAGCAGCCGCGGUAAUACGGAGGGAGCUAGCGUUGUUCGGAAUUACUGGGCGUAAAGAGUACGUAGGCGGUUAUUCAAGCCAGAGGUGAAAGCCCGGGGCUCAACCCCGGAACUGCCUUUGAAACUAGAUAACUAGAGUCUUGGAGAGGUUAGUGGAAUUCCGAGUGUAGAGGUGAAAUUCGUAGAUAUUCGGAAGAACACCAGUGGCGAAGGCGACUAACUGGACAAGUACUGACGCUGAGGUACGAAAGCGUGGGGAGCAAACAGGAUUAGAUACCCUGGUAGUCCACGCCGUAAACGAUGAUAACUAGUUGUUCGGUCACUUGGUGACUGAGUGACGCAGCUAACGCAUUAAGUUAUCCGCCUGGGGAGUACGGUCGCAAGAUUAAAACUUAAAGGAAUUGACGG